This 1126-nucleotide long non-coding RNA is filed under the name Cicer arietinum (chickpea). RNAcentral describes it as "long non-coding RNA (CARI_LNC002640)". The record is from RNAcentral. Lineage: Eukaryota; Viridiplantae; Streptophyta; Magnoliopsida; Fabales; Fabaceae.
UUAGUAACCACACAAUUUGAGGAUUUUCGAAAAUGAAUCCAAAUAUCAAAUGAAAUAUAAUAAACAAAAGAAAUAAUAAAAGGUACGUAGUUGUGCAUAUUCCAUAGUAAUAUAUUUUGAUGACAAGAUUAAUCCAUCCAAUAUCCAAGAGGGUGUUCAAUAUUAUUGAUAGAAGGGAGGAUGGUACGAGGAUCUAUACAUCAUCUUGAUUAACCUUAAUAUACAACAUGGCUGAUGAUGAUGGUUGCUUUUUCAUACUUCCCAACAGCCGCGUCAUCUUGUUCAAACCUUUGUAUACAUCAUUUCCAUUAACUUUGAAUAAUCAAAGCCACGCCUGAUGAUGGUUGCUUUAGCCUCAACAGACAAAGUUUGCUUUACAUAUUCAAGCUUAGAUUCAUGAGCAGCGUCAUCUUGUUCUGAAAAAGCAUCAUAUAUGUGAGUGACUAAACAACAAUCAUCAGGUAAAUUGAACAUUUCAAAUUCUCAGAAUGAAUUCUAAAAAUAUAAAUUAAUAAAGAAUUCAAAUAUUGUGAAACUUGAAUCAAAAGCAGUUGAACUUGCCUCGUAUGAUUCUUCGCCGAAACAUAUUCUUUUACUUUGAGCUGACUUAUCUAAAGUUAAUAGAUCAAACAUCAUCAUAAUAAAACAAUACAAGAAAAAAGAAUUGCAUUUACAUAAUAAAACGUGAAAGAAAAAAGAAUUGCAUAUUCACAUGGUUAUAAAAUCUAAAUCUAAAUCACCAUCAUAAUAAAACAAUACAAGAAAAAAGAAUUGAAUUUACAUAAUAAAACAUGAAAGAAAAAGAAUUGCAUAUUCACAUGGUUAUAAAAUCUAAAUCUAAAUAAUCAUCAUCAUAAUGGUAGAUAAUUAAUACAAUAUUCAGCAAUGUAACGUAAAAACCGUACCAAACAAAUAAAUUACUAAGAAUGACUUUUACAAACAAAACUAAAGAAUAAAAAUAAAAGAGGAAAUUAGGGUUUUACACAUUUGCGAUGUCGUGCAGUGUAGAGAAAAAGAGAAGGGAAUCUGAAAAGAAAUAUAAAGAAGAUUAGAUAACUAACACAAGUAUGUGAAGAAGAAAACUAACCAGAGAAGAUAUCGGAAAAUCGUACGAAUCAAGAAUGUG